UUUGUAUCUAGCUGUCCCCCCACAGCCUCAUGUGGUCAUAGAGUUUUUUUUGGAGGUGGGUGAAUCUAGAGUGUGUAAUUGAUUCGUAGUGCAAUGAUGGGAUUAAGGCUGGGUGAUUGCUAGGUCAGUCCACUGAUUGGACUGGCAUCAUCCUAACCCUGGUAGACUGGACGAAAGAGGUUUGUCUUGCUCUCUCUUGUUGCUUUAACUGUCUUCUGCUGCCAUGAACUUUUCCCCCUCUGCAUGUCCCACCUACCUGGGAGCCAGCAGAUUAUGGACUGAAACCCGCACAAACUGUGAGCUAAAUAAACCUUUCCCCGCUUUAACUUUGGGUGUUGGGUAUUUUGCCUCAACAAUGAGAGAAAUGUAACUAAGACAUUUGUAUAAGGAAAAACCAUGGUGGUGUAUGGCUUUUCAGAGAAAGAACUGUCGUCAUCUUAAUACUGGUCUGCUCUUGUAAGACUGAAAUUUGUGUAAUGGCAGGGGUGGGGAAGAGAUUGAAUAGCUUCAUGCAUGCCAUGUCUCUCUUGUAAAUGUUUUACCUCAUGAUUUCUUGUUCCUCUUGGUUUUUUUCUCCCCUGCCUCUGGGCUUGAAUGCCAAAACUAAUAUUGUUGGUGUUUAAUAACCAAAAGCCAAUAAAACAUUCUUUUUGUACUUGCAGUACCUUCAGGUAUGAUUUGCAAUUCAUCUGUCAAGCCUAUUGCAUACUAAUUCAAAGGAGAAAAAACUCUCAUCCAGUCUGAAUAAAGGAGGGAAAGAACUAGAAGAGACCAGGCCAUGACAGAGCCUCAGAGGUCAGAGCUGGGGAGAAGUUGGAAAACUCAGUCACAGUUUGAUGCCCCAUCGAUGUUUUAUGCAUUGGAACCUGCCUUCCAGUUGCUAUCAGGAUACAGAGACGGUCACAGCGUGGAAGUGGUAGUGAGCAAAAAGGACUCACUUGUGUCACGCUCAGACUACUGGAUUCAAGGAAGUCUCCCAAGGGCGGGUCCUCCAGGAGAUUGCCUGGCAGGAGGAACUUUCACGAAAAACUGUCAAAACCACAGCUGGGCACAAAGGCCACCACAACCUUGCACAAAAAUGCUUCUAGGAAGAUGUCUGCUUAGCAACUGCCUGCUCAACCUUGCGCAGGCACCACCCUCACUGAUCCCUGUAGCCAAGGGUAAUUGUUUCAAAACAACUUACGCAACUCUCCCCAUCUUAACGUUAAACACCCUGGUCCCCCUUUGGCUCUCUGAACAAAACUGAACAUUCACCAGAGUACCCAGAUUCCCAUGGCAAUGCACGGAGUCUCUCUCUUUGCUGUCUAGGUUGACGACACCAAGAUCGACCUCAAAGAACAUCACUGUCCAGUGGGCAAAGCAAUAAAUGCCACUCAGAGUCCUAGCUGCACCAACAGAGUGAGCGGACAAGGUAAACUUGUUCUGAGACAGGACCGCCCAGUACAACCACGGGUAAUCACAGGGGGCUUCCUGGGGUUACGUUGCUGCAGCUAACUCAUUUUGAGGUGCUCACUGGACAGACGAUGAGGCCAAGGACACUCUGGGCAGAAAAGUC
Chinchilla lanigera (long-tailed chinchilla) is the source of this 1555-nucleotide long non-coding RNA. NCBI's taxonomy places the organism in Eukaryota, Metazoa, Chordata, Mammalia, Rodentia, Chinchillidae. The record is from Ensembl.